This 33-nucleotide ribosomal RNA is filed under the name Neofusicoccum parvum. RNAcentral's name for it is "partial 18S ribosomal RNA". Lineage: Eukaryota; Fungi; Ascomycota; Dothideomycetes; Botryosphaeriales; Botryosphaeriaceae. The record is from RNAcentral.
CCCUUCCGUAGGUGACCUGCGGAAGGAUCAUUA